CUGGAAUAAGAAUGAAUGGCUUAUCGUAAGCCUCGUAAGACAUUGUCUAAGAAUUUGCACAAUCAGUGUUCUUGUUUGGCUAACUUAUGUGGAAAAGGAACUUACUGAAACAAUACUUCAUCAUUCACAGAAUCAAAUUGGAGGCUUGGAAAAAGUAUGGCAACAAAGCAAGGCAGCAGGAAAUCCAGUCAUGCUAAUGACAUGAGGAGUUUGAAAUGGCCAUGUGGCAGCCUCAGCUUCCAGUUCUUUGAAACCAUUGAAAUGAAAACUUGUCCUGGCCCCUGAACGUAUUGCCAGCUGUCAUCCCUGCUUCUAUGAUGCAUGUGUAGGGCGGAGAUUCAGCUAAAUGGAGCAUCUAUGGCAAGAAGCUUCAAGGUGAGCAUGAAGAAAAUAGAGUAAGUUCUCAUGUCCUACUCAUGGAUUUCUCAUCCAGCCUUCCAGCUGGAGCACAGCACGCAGUUGCUGAGUUGAUCCUGACAGCAUGUCCUCUCAAGGACUGAGAUUGUCGGUGACUUUUUCUGUGUGUGAUGAAUCAUGAGGUGUCUUAGCAGAAGUGAGAAGAUUGGAAUAGGCUAAUUAGCUUCUGAAAGUUAAAAAUUGAUGUGGUAGAAGAAAAAUAAUAAUUAUUUUUGCUUAACCUCUAUUUUCCAUAUCAAAAUAAGAUACACUAAGUGACAGAAACUUUGCUUUUAAAGACAAGUAAGGACGCAAGAAAGAUGUCUGCUCUGAAUUCAUCAUUCACAUGGCUAACUUUCUUCCUUCUUUUGGGUCUUUGCUGAAAUGUCAUUUUAUCCCAGAGGACAUCUCUGAGCACCAUGUGUAAAAUGGCAACAUCCCCUAAUACUAAACACCCCAACCCCCUUGCUCUCCUUUAUUGAUCCCUAUGCCCCAUCAGGAAUGGGA
Molecule: long non-coding RNA, 903 nt
Filed under: Callithrix jacchus (white-tufted-ear marmoset)
Lineage: Eukaryota; Metazoa; Chordata; Mammalia; Primates; Cebidae
Description: lncRNA (ENSCJAG00000054432.2)
Source: RNAcentral